GUGUGUGUCAGGUCUGGGGUGAAGACCACAUUUCCCCACUGCACCUUGAAGCUUCCCAGGCCGCUCGAUGUCACAAGCCACACUCCCAGGACCUCCAGACAAGGCCAUAUGACACUCCGGGUGUUCAGCUGCAAAUAGAAAUGUCCAAUGUAUUAGAAGGGGGCUAGCGGGCAUCAUCUGGCUGUGCAUUCCUGUAGCCACUCCUCCAGGAUGGCUCUGGACGUCGGGGAGGGCAUGCGACACCCACUCCACAGGACUGGUUAGUGACUGUCAUGCUGGUGUUGGUCCAAGUGAUUAUUUUCCUGCCAAGACUCUCUCUGGCCCAGAAGCCCAGCUCCUACACAUUGGAAAUGAUUCAGCCAAGCAACUGCCCUGCAUGUAACAAGGGCGGACAACUAAGUGGGAGAAAGUCACGGUCAGCACACAAAUCUUGUUAAAAGACACAGGAUCCAGACGCCAGGAAAAACAUAAAGGGCCACAUAAAAAAAAAAAAAAAAAAGCAAUUUUUUGCAUGUUAAAAAAACCUAUAAAAUCAAAAGAAAAGUUGCAAGUUGGGAGAAAUAACAACAUCUGAGUCACCCUGCCUCGGUGAGGAUGUGGAAAACGUACUUGUGUUUGGUGGGCAAAGAGCCCUUUCUGCAGGGCAGUUAUCUGCAUCAACAUCCAAAGUAUCUUUACCUUGUGACUUAGAGUUAGUGGGAGUUGUGUGCACAGGUGACGCCUGCCCAAGGGCGUCCAGUGUGACUGUCACAGGGGACUGUUCAGAUAGCAGGAAAGAGGACUCUGGCACGCAGGCCCCCUGGCCUGUGCACCAGGCCCGUGGUGUGAAGAUGGUGACGGCCAUUCAGAAGGACGAGUAGGUCCGUAAGUGCCAACGUGGUUCUCCUUAAGAGGCAAAGGCGUAGGACCAGUACAGAACCAGAUGUGGUCAGUGCCGUGUGAGGGGAUGGGUAUGCAUGACACUGAUGUGUGUACACCCUCCACUCUGUCCCCGUCCUCCCCCUGCCCGCCCACAAAUAGCCCCCAAGGAUGAGCCUGCCUUCCUAUCUUGACUGACACUCCUGGGGAGGGACCUACUUUAUAAGAAGGAAAAUCUACAGGGUCAUUUUUUUUUUAAUUAUUUUUUUUGUCUUUUGUCUUUUUAGGGCCACACCCG
RNAcentral lists this long non-coding RNA (1156 nucleotides) under Sus scrofa (pig). Its description in RNAcentral is "lncRNA (ENSSSCG00055024028.1)". The record is from RNAcentral. Lineage: Eukaryota; Metazoa; Chordata; Mammalia; Artiodactyla; Suidae.